RNAcentral lists this ribosomal RNA (253 nucleotides) under uncultured bacterium. Its description in RNAcentral is "partial 16S ribosomal RNA". It matches the Rfam family "Bacterial small subunit ribosomal RNA", at positions 524 to 776 of the family's 1533-position model. The record is from RNAcentral.
UACGUAGGGGGCAAGCGUUAUCCGGAUUUAUUGGGCGUAAAGAGCUCGUAGGCGGCUGAUCGCGUCGGUUGUGAAAGCUCAGGGCUCAACCCUGAGACGCCAAUCGAUACGGAUCGGCUAGAGGUAGGUAGGGGAAAGUGGAAUUCCUGGUGUAGCGGUGAAAUGCGCAGAUAUCAGGAGGAACACCAGUGGCGAAGGCGGUUGCCUGGAGCUUUGCUGACGCUGAUGCGGGAAAGCGUGGGGAGCGAUCCGG